UAAGGGUCAUGUCUAUAGUCAUUUAUUGUUAUCUUAACUCUUAAUGUAACACAAGCUGCAAAAUUUGAAUUUGAGACCUUAUAAACAGGCCAUAUGUUAUCAUUUAAAUUUUUUGAAAGUAUACAAAAUAUAUUAUCUUGCUUCUAUAUUUUGCUAAUUAAACAAGUUUGGAGGUAAAUAUCCACGACAAACAAAACUCUUAGGGUGUUGCUUAUUAUAUUUUUUUUAUAACCACACAUUUAAAUAAAAAAAAUGUGUAAUAUUAGUAACUGUCACGCAUUUCUAGGCAUAUUCUUUUUCCUGUUUUGUUGGUCCCUUCUGUUUGUGCGAUUAAGCUGGAGCAAACACUAUGUGCUAGUUUGGGCCAUUGAACUAUUUAUUCUGUUUAUAUGGUUUGAUAAGCCCAAUAUUUGAAGUGAUAUAGCGAUAUAGCAUAAUAGUAAAAUAGCCUAUGAUGCUAAACAAGUCCGUCGAGUUUGAUAUUGGAUUCUAGCUCUAGCCCCUCCCGAGCUUAGUUGCAACAUGUUAUAAACCGUCAGACUAUCUACAUUGAUCUUGUUUUUGCGCCGUCCAGAACAACGUGGAGGCACUGGACGGCUUGAUGUAGACGAGGUUCAUGAAGGCUUUUGGGAAAAGAAGUCCGCAACCCCGGACCUAAAAAAGAGCGCAUAUAUUAAGAGCAGUCUGAUGAACACUAUUAAUUUGUGAGGAGAGUGUAGAUCGAAAGAAGAAAGGCCUUGUGUUAUUUGGUAUAAAGGGGUGUUUGGGAUUGCUUAAGCUUUGCGGUAUGGGAGAGUCUCAUCCUUGGAGGAUGAUCGCCACGUCAUAGUUUUUGGAGGAUGCCCCUCUAAGGAUGAAACAAUGGAAAUGGAGGAUGAGCCUACCCCACCAACUUAAUUUUUUUUUAAAUUUUAUCUACUUUUUUAACAUUGGUUAUAAAAUGGACUCUUAACUAAUCUCAUAAACAUUUUUACACCCCUUAAAUAUCCUUUCACAAAGCUUUGUUUUUCAUAAAAAUCCUCGCCGUACCUCUGCAUCUUCGCCGGAAUUUAUUUCUCUCGUCGGUGUUCGUUUCGCCGGAAUCACCAAGUCACGUCAUUCGUGGUCACCGGUAAAAAAGGUGAAUAUAUCCACCAGUUAUGACUUAGCGGUAGGAGGCUUGGUUCUCUGGUGGAGACUAAAGUUUGAUCCCCAUUUGUGUCACUUUUGAUGGAUUAAAGCAUUGAAGAUUUUGAGAUAGACUUUGUGAGAGGUUGUCAGUUCGAAUCCAAAGUCCACCCGGGUUUUCGUCCCACCAUAUGUUAUUACAGAGAGUUCUGCUCUUGUGGUGGCACAACGACUGUCAAGUGACAGCUGACAGUAUGGUUAAGCCAAAAUCUUAAGCCAGCGUGGGCCCAGUUAAGACAAAAUAGUAUGGCCAGAGUGGGACAACGGAGCUCUCCAAGUUGGAGAGUGCGGUGGCCCAACACAUGAAAGUCCUCGUUCCAAAAAAAAAGUGAAUACAUAGUAUUGUUUUUGCUUUUAAGAACAUUUCGAUAUAAAUAUAAUUGAAAAUUGCGUUGGUUUCAAAAUAAUGUAUGCCUUUAUCUCGUCCA
This is a long non-coding RNA of Helianthus annuus (common sunflower), 1595 nucleotides long. RefSeq lists it as uncharacterized. The transcript is spliced from 2 exons. NCBI's taxonomy places the organism in Eukaryota, Viridiplantae, Streptophyta, Magnoliopsida, Asterales, Asteraceae. The record is from RefSeq and is a predicted model, not a curated record.